Molecule: ribosomal RNA, 253 nt
Filed under: uncultured bacterium
Lineage: Bacteria
Description: partial 16S ribosomal RNA
Rfam family: Bacterial small subunit ribosomal RNA
Source: RNAcentral
UACGUAGGGGGCAAGCGUUGUCCGGAAUCAUUGGGCGUAAAGCGCGUGUAGGCGGUCCGGUAAGUCCGCUGUGAAAGUCGGGGGCUCAACCCUCGGAUGCCGGUGGAUACUGUCGGGCUUGAGUACGGAAGAGGCGAGUGGAAUUCCUGGUGUAGUGGUGAAAUGCGUAGAUAUCGAGAGGAACACCUGCGGCGAAGGCGGGUUGCUGGGCUGACACUGACGCUGAGGCGCGAAAGCUAGGGGAGCGAACGGG